This 93-nucleotide transfer RNA is filed under the name Fusarium piperis. It matches the Rfam family "tRNA". Rfam says of the family: Transfer RNA (tRNA) molecules are approximately 80 nucleotides in length. Their secondary structure includes four short double-helical elements and three loops (D, anti-codon, and T loops). Further hydrogen bonds mediate the characteristic L-shaped molecular structure. tRNAs have two regions of fundamental functional importance: the anti-codon, which is responsible for specific mRNA codon recognition, and the 3' end, to which the tRNAs corresponding amino acid is attached (by aminoacyl-tRNA synthetases). tRNAs cope with the degeneracy of the genetic code in two manners: having more than one tRNA (with a specific anti-codon) for a particular amino acid; and 'wobble' base-pairing, i.e. permitting non-standard base-pairing at the 3rd anti-codon position. Lineage: Eukaryota; Fungi; Ascomycota; Sordariomycetes; Hypocreales; Nectriaceae. The record is from Rfam by way of RNAcentral.
GACAACGUGGCCGAGUGGUUAAGGCGAUGCCCUGCUAUCUUGCAUAGAAAGGCAUUGUGUUCGCACGCGUAGGUUCGAAUCCUGCCGUUGUCG